Long non-coding RNA from Astyanax mexicanus (Mexican tetra), 797 nucleotides. RefSeq lists it as uncharacterized. The transcript is spliced from 2 exons. Lineage: Eukaryota; Metazoa; Chordata; Actinopteri; Characiformes; Acestrorhamphidae. The record is from RefSeq and is a predicted model, not a curated record.
UCUGGGUUGAGCUGAGCCACUACAACAAUGCCAGCUAACAUUUAAGAAAAUACACAUCCCCAAUGAGAAGGUUUGGAGAGGGGAGGAUGAUAGGGAAGAGAAACGACCAACCAUUCUUUAUCCUAAUCUUCUCUCUCCCCAUUUACCGCUCACCUGUUGGAAACAACCCCCUUCUUGUUAAUAUUCAACACCUAAAGCAAAAACAAUUCAUGUUUCCAACUACACUGCUUUAUGACUUACCUUUUGACAUCUGGCUUCAGCUUUAUGGACUGCCUCAGAUCCUCAGCUGCCUUUUGACAGAGAAAAACAAAAAUUAUCCCAUUGUUUCUCUUCAUGGGCAGCAAUCCUAAACAUUAAUGGUCUGCUUAAGGAGGAAAACAACAUUAUCUUUGUAAACUACAUAGUUCAUCAAAAAAAGGAAUAAGAACAAAGAAUCAAACAUACCAUGUAUUCUUUAACCAAUGUAUCCAGGUCUUUACUGAGGUAGAUACUCAGACAGCUCAGAACACAAUCACACUUCACAUUGAUGUCUUCAUUCUACAAAAAGAAAACAUAAUUUAUGCUCGUCAGUGACAAAGACACAGUAACACACAGGAGCUGAGGCUAACAAUGUCAGUUACAUUUACCUACUUCACCACACCAGCACCUUGCUUUACCCCACUCAGGUAAAGCUCACUCAGUAAACAGUAAUUGUGAAAGUACCAGAAAACAUGAAAAUAUUAGCUUUUCCUUAUAGCUCAGUAACACACAACAUAUCAGAUUAGAGAGAGAGAGAGAGAGAGAGAGAGAGAGAGAGA